RNAcentral lists this non-coding RNA (28 nucleotides) under Macaca fascicularis (crab-eating macaque). RNAcentral also lists the same sequence under 1 other name. Lineage: Eukaryota; Metazoa; Chordata; Mammalia; Primates; Cercopithecidae. The record is from RNAcentral.
UGAUUCAUGAUCCCUGCCGACAUAUCCU